GACGAACGCUGGCGGCGUGCCUAAUACAUGCAAGUAGAACGCUGAAGGAAGGAGCUUGCUCUUUCUGGCUGAGUUGCGAACGGGUGAGUAACGCGUAGGUAACCUGCCUGGUAGCGGGGGAUAACUAUUGGAAACGAUAGCUAAUACCGCAUAAAAUUGAUUAUUGCAUGAUAGUCAAUUAAAAGGUGCAACUGCACCACUACCAGAUGGACCUGCGUUGUAUUAGCUAGUUGGUGGGGUAACGGCUCACCAAGGCGACGAUACAUAGCCGACCUGAGAGGGUGAUCGGCCACACUGGGACUGAGACACGGCCCAGGCUCCUACGGGAGGCAGCAGUAGGGAAUCUUCGGCAAUGGACGGAAGUCUGACCGAGCAACGCCGCGUGAGUGAAGAAGGUUUUCGGAUCGUAAAGCUCUGUUGUAAGAGAAGAACGAGUGUGAGAGUGGAAAGUUCACACUGUGACGGUAUCUUACCAGAAAGGGACGGCUAACUACGUG
RNAcentral lists this ribosomal RNA (497 nucleotides) under uncultured bacterium. Its description in RNAcentral is "partial 16S ribosomal RNA". It matches the Rfam family "Bacterial small subunit ribosomal RNA", at positions 28 to 507 of the family's 1533-position model. The record is from RNAcentral.